RNAcentral lists this long non-coding RNA (1501 nucleotides) under Malus domestica (apple). Its description in RNAcentral is "long non-coding RNA (MDOM_LNC013177)". Lineage: Eukaryota; Viridiplantae; Streptophyta; Magnoliopsida; Rosales; Rosaceae. The record is from RNAcentral.
CAGUAAAAGAACCAUGGAAACACCAAGUUUUAAGGGCAAUUGAGAAUUCAAUAUCGCAUUCCAAAACAAUAAAAUCGUUUCUUGGACCGAGAGCAGGUUUGGGAUAGCAUUUCCAUAUACAAAUCUCCAGAAACAGUAAUAGUAGCAAGAGGAAAUUGCCAGAAAACACGAAAACAACGCUUUCAAAUUGCUGAAAUUUUUACAACGAAAUGGUAUUUCUACAUGAAAACGCCUCUUGAUGAACAAAUACAGACCUUAAUUUGAAACCUGGUCUUAUUCUGAGCAUUCGAUUCUUGAAAUCCAGAUAUUGCAGCAAGAACUUAAAGUAGGAUUAACAACUAAUCUGACGUUAAUCCCAAGCUAAACCCAAGGAUAAACCUUUAAUCACCUCCAAACACAGAUUCUGAAUCAAAUGCACAAUUACAGUAUUAAUACUAACUAUGAAAUUUGAUGGAUUAAAAGCAGGAUUAACAACAUAUGCAUGGUAAUAAUCGAGAAUUAAAGAAGAAUGGCAGAGAGAGAACUCAAAGUUGAAACCUUUAUCCUAACCAUUUUCUGCUUUAGUUUCAGAAGAACCCAGAAACAAAAACAUAAGAAAUCGGAUCCAAAACAACAAAAAACCCAUAUUUUAGAGAGAGAGAGAGAGAGGAUUACCAGAAGCAAUCUUUGAGGGAAGAAUAUGAGGGAGAUAACCGGAGCUAGAAGGGAAGGAGUACAUGGGUCUCUCAAAGCAACGGCGUGAGAGAGUGGUGAUGGACUGAGUCACUGAGGUUUGGGGGGUUUACUAUUGAAAUUACACAAAAGUUCUCAAUAAACGGGUGAAAUGGGUGAUUAACGGGUUUCGCAGGUUCACCCAAAAUGACCCGUUAUUUAACGGGUCAUUAACGGGUUGACCGUUAACCACCCGACCCAUUUAUUACUCACCCGAAAUCUAAUUUUAACGGGUCGGGUUGAAAAUGCCAGGUCUACCCAUGACCCACCUCACCUAAAAACCCAUAUCACUCCCUCCGCACCCACCCUCCUCCCUCCUCUACACACCCCCCACUCCUUAAAUCCACACCCAUUCCUCCCAACUCAUGAACCCGGCGAUGGCGGUGUAGACGGGAUCUGGGGAUUUUUUUUUUUUGUUUUUUUUUCUGGGUUGCAGGUAGGGGGUCGGGGGGAAGAGAGAGGAAGAUGGGGGGUGAAGACGAACUGAAGGGCUUUUUGUUUUUUUUUUCUGGGUUGCAGGGGGAAGAAGAUGAAGAUGGGGAGAUAGGGGAGAAGAGAUGAGGAGGGGGGAUAAGGUUUCUGGGUUUGGGGGUUGCAGGGAGAAGAGAUGAGGAAGAGGGGGGAUUUUUAUUUUUUUUUUAAUUUAGAAGAUUUAGGUUUUUUUUUUUAAAAAAUAAAACAAUAUUUUUUUUGUCACGUGGCACAAAUGUGGCAGCCACGUCAGCGCUUAACGGAUCAAUGGAUGAAAAUCUAACGGAGGUAUUAUUUUGAAAUAAAAUAAUACGUGAGG